This 1133-nucleotide ribosomal RNA is filed under the name uncultured Acidimicrobium sp. RNAcentral describes it as "bacterial SSU rRNA". It matches the Rfam family "Bacterial small subunit ribosomal RNA", at positions 334 to 1491 of the family's 1533-position model. Lineage: Bacteria; Bacillati; Actinomycetota; Acidimicrobiia; Acidimicrobiales; Acidimicrobiaceae. The record is from RNAcentral.
CGCUCCUCCGGAGGCAGCAGUGGGAUAUUGCGCAUGGGCGAAGCUGACGCAGCAACGCCGCGUGAGAUGAAGGCUUUCGGGUGUAACUCCUUUCAGCAGGACGAAACUGACGGUUCCUGCAGAAGAAGCCCCGGCUAACUACGUCCCAGCAGCCGCGGUGAGACGUAGGGGGCAAGCGUUGUCCGGAUUUAUUGGUCGUAAAGAGCUCGUAGGCGGCUUGGCAAGUCGGAUGUGAAAUCUCCAGGCUUAACCUGGAGUCGCCAUCCGAUACUGCUAUGGCUAGAGUCCGGUAGAGGAUCGUGGAAUUCCUGGUGUAGCGGUGAAAUGCGCAGAUAUCAGGAGGAACACCAACGGCGAAGGCAGCGAUCUGGGCCGGUACUGACGCUGAGGAGCGAAAGCGUGGGGAGCGAACAGGAUUAGAUACCCUGGUAGUCCACGCCCUAAACGUUGGGCACUAGGUGUGGGGCCUAUUUCGACGGGUUCCGUGCCGUAGCUAACGCAUUAAGUGCCCCGCCUGGGGAGUACGGUCGCAAGGCUAAAACUCAAAGGAAUUGACGGGGGCCCGCACAAGCGGCGGAGCAUGCGGCUUAAUUCGAUGCAACGCGAAAAACCUCACCUGGGUUUGACAUGUAGGGAAAAGCUGCAGAGAUGCAGUGUCCUUUUAGGGCCCUUCACAGGUGGUGCAUGGCUGUCGUCAGCUCGUGUCGCGAGAUGUUGGGUUAAGUCCCGCAACGAGCGCAACCCUUGCCCUAUGUUGCCAGCGGAUAAUGCCGGGGACUCGUAGGGGACUGCCGGAGUUAAUUCGGAGGAAGGUGGGGACGACGUCAAGUCAUCAUGCCCCUUACAUCCAGGGCUGCACGCAUGCUACAAUGGCCGGUACAAAGGGUCGCCAACCCGCGAGGGGGAGCCAAUCCCAUAAAGCCGGUCUCAGUUCGGAUCGCAGUCUGCAACUCGACUGCGUGAAGUCGGAGUCGCUAGUAAUCCCGAAUCAGCACGUCGGGGUGAAUACGUUCCCGGGCCUUGUACACACCGCCCGUCACACCACGAAAGUCGGCAACACCCGAAGCCGGUGGCCCAACCAGUAAUGGAGGGAGCCGUCGAAGGUGGGGUCGGUGAUUGGGGUGAAGUCGUAA